GACGAACCGAGCGAACGUUAUUCGGAAUCACUGGGCUUAAAGGGCGCGUAGGCGGGUCAGCAAGUCAGGGGUGAAAUCCCACGGCUCAACCGUGGAAGUGCCUUUGAUACUGUUGAUCUCGAGGGAGGUAGGGGCGUGCGGAACUUCCGGUGGAGCGGUGAAAUGCGUAGAUAUCGGAAGGAACACCGGUGGCGAAAGCGGCGCGCUGGACCGACAUUGACGCUGAACGGCGAAAGCUAGGGGAGCAAACGGG
Molecule: ribosomal RNA, 253 nt
Filed under: uncultured bacterium
Lineage: Bacteria
Description: partial 16S ribosomal RNA
Rfam family: Bacterial small subunit ribosomal RNA
Source: RNAcentral